Long non-coding RNA from Synchiropus splendidus (mandarinfish), 769 nucleotides. RefSeq lists it as uncharacterized. NCBI's taxonomy places the organism in Eukaryota, Metazoa, Chordata, Actinopteri, Syngnathiformes, Callionymidae. The transcript is spliced from 3 exons. The record is from RefSeq and is a predicted model, not a curated record.
GGGUGAAUCAGACUCAGACCCACCCGAGACAGAACCCAUAGUGUGAAAAGCCCCGAAGCACUGUUUACUGUUCCAAACCUAGCCAAACCAAAAGAGUGACAACAUACAAAACAUGUUUAAAUCACUGCUCUGCUCAGUCGGGGGACAUGAAAGUCUCGCCUGCGGACUUACAUCACCACUCACACAUGGACAUCAGAGCGACCAAAGACUCGACACGUCGGCCUUCAAAGACCCAAGACCAUAUAACUUGUGCGUUCUGCCUCAGUUGAAGAUGCUUGCACUCAAGCAAACAAACUAGCAGCUCACAGAAAACUAUCUCCGUCACAUGAUCACUCACACUCCAGUCUGAGAGCCGCAAGCUGCUGGUGAGGGAGUCACAAGAGUCCACGCAGAACUGUCGGACAUGGUUACCGUCGCUCGGUGCAUCGGAGUUCUGAAAGCUCUUGCUGUAUUCACAGUCGGGAACGUUUUGGGGAUGUACCUUGCCCAGACCUAUGAGGUUCCGAACAUCGCUCAGAAGAUCGAGGCUUUCAAGAAAGACGAGGCAAAGAAGAAGCCCCCGGAGUGAGGCUGGCGUGACCUUGAGAUCAGCAGGGAGCAAGGCUAUUUAUUUGACUAUUAAUCUAUGAGUCAUUGAAGGGGGUGGGCGUUCGAUGCUCAUACUGGGAGCUUCACCAGGCUGAGGGACGAUCACAGUCUCUUUAAAAACUGCCAAACCAGUUUGUUUGUGUCCCAUGUUAAGCAUCAAUAAAACAACUGGAGUCUGUUA